AGAAAAAAAAGUCCCUUUUAUCAAAUCAGUUUGGGAGGUUACCAGCGUCACCCUCUCUAAAAGCAUACUGGCGUCGCCUCUCUCAGAUUUCGAUUGGCUUAGCAAUGAAUCUUUGAACGAAUUUAUGAACGAGGCUCCUUGAUUUUAUUCCUUGACAAAAUGGAACAUGAACGAAUAUGGACAAUUAUAAAAGAAAAAAUUUAUGAGGUUAGAUAUCAAAGAAGCAUGGACAGAUGGCGUCAAACACAACCUACUUCUGAGGAUAGUUCCACAACCCAACUAACAUAUGAUGAUAUUACUUAAAUAUGGAAAAAUGUAGCAAGAGGUGGUGAAGAAAGGCAGAGUUUACGGGCUUGGAGUACAACCUUUCUCAUGUCAUCCAUCACCGUUGAUGUCAGAAGUUCAUGGAGAAACAUAUGGUUGCAUAUGAUGAUGGCGAAGAAGAGACCGAUUCUAGUGAAGAGUAGAUUAUGUUCUUGUUGUUUAGACAUUUUUCUAUGACAUUUAGACUUGUUUAACUAGUUACUUCCAUUUUGAGUAACAACUUAAUAUUUAUGAGACUUGAUUUUGAUAAUGUUUCAAAAUUUAGACUUCAUUGUGAAUCUGUGAAUCAAGUGGAAUUU
Long non-coding RNA from Solanum pennellii, 623 nucleotides. RefSeq lists it as uncharacterized. The record is from RefSeq and is a predicted model, not a curated record. The transcript has 4 exons. Lineage: Eukaryota; Viridiplantae; Streptophyta; Magnoliopsida; Solanales; Solanaceae.